This 550-nucleotide ribosomal RNA is filed under the name Salmonella enterica. RNAcentral's name for it is "bacterial SSU rRNA". It matches the Rfam family "Bacterial small subunit ribosomal RNA", at positions 993 to 1533 of the family's 1533-position model. The record is from RNAcentral. Lineage: Bacteria; Pseudomonadati; Pseudomonadota; Gammaproteobacteria; Enterobacterales; Enterobacteriaceae. RNAcentral also lists the same sequence under 7 other names.
GAACUUUCCAGAGAUGGAUUGGUGCCUUCGGGAACUGUGAGACAGGUGCUGCAUGGCUGUCGUCAGCUCGUGUUGUGAAAUGUUGGGUUAAGUCCCGCAACGAGCGCAACCCUUAUCCUUUGUUGCCAGCGAUUAGGUCGGGAACUCAAAGGAGACUGCCAGUGAUAAACUGGAGGAAGGUGGGGAUGACGUCAAGUCAUCAUGGCCCUUACGACCAGGGCUACACACGUGCUACAAUGGCGCAUACAAAGAGAAGCGACCUCGCGAGAGCAAGCGGACCUCAUAAAGUGCGUCGUAGUCCGGAUUGGAGUCUGCAACUCGACUCCAUGAAGUCGGAAUCGCUAGUAAUCGUGGAUCAGAAUGCCACGGUGAAUACGUUCCCGGGCCUUGUACACACCGCCCGUCACACCAUGGGAGUGGGUUGCAAAAGAAGUAGGUAGCUUAACCUUCGGGAGGGCGCUUACCACUUUGUGAUUCAUGACUGGGGUGAAGUCGUAACAAGGUAACCGUAGGGGAACCUGCGGUUGGAUCACCUCCUUACCUUAAAGAA